RNAcentral lists this unclassified non-coding RNA (556 nucleotides) under Solariellidae gen. sp. 19896_LS14_04. RNAcentral describes it as "contains 16S-23S intergenic spacer region". It matches the Rfam family "Bacterial large subunit ribosomal RNA", at positions 1816 to 2597 of the family's 2925-position model. Lineage: Eukaryota; Metazoa; Mollusca; Gastropoda; Trochida; Solariellidae. The record is from RNAcentral.
CGCUCUUUGUUAUGAAAACGCUUAAAUAGAGAGUCGGACCUGCCCAGUGACAUACGUGUUAAACGGCCGCGGUACUCUGACCGUGCAAAGGUAGCAUAAUCACUUGCCUUUUAAUUGGAGGCUUGUAUGAAUGGUUUGACGAGAGCUAAGCUGUCUCCUUUUUAAAUAUUUAAAAAUUAACUUAUAGGUGAAGAGGCCUAUAUAUAUUUGAGGGACAAGAAGACCCUGUUGAGUUUGAGUGUAGCCGGGGAUUAAGUUUAUCUAAUUUUAAUUAAAUUACGGUAAUAAAGUUAUAUAAAAUAAAGGCUAGGUUUUUGGUGAAUCUUUAGUUGGGGCGACUGAGGAAUACAAUAAGCUUCCUUUAAAUGUAUCAUGGCUGUCAAGUCAGUUUGAUCCAGUUUUUACUGAUUAAAGGAAAAAAUUACCACAGGGAUAACAGCGUAAUCUUUUUGGAGAGUUCUUAUCGAAGAAAGGGUUUGCGACCUCGAUGUUGGACUAAGGUAUCCCAAGGGUGUAGAAGCUUUUGAGGGUUGGUCUGUUCGACCAUUAAAACCUU